GGGCUCUUAGCUCAGUUGGUAGAGCAGCGGACUCUUAAUCCGUAGGUCGAGUGUUCGAGUCACUCAGGGCCCACCA
RNAcentral lists this transfer RNA (76 nucleotides) under Vitreoscilla sp. Its description in RNAcentral is "tRNA-Lys". It matches the Rfam family "tRNA". Rfam says of the family: Transfer RNA (tRNA) molecules are approximately 80 nucleotides in length. Their secondary structure includes four short double-helical elements and three loops (D, anti-codon, and T loops). Further hydrogen bonds mediate the characteristic L-shaped molecular structure. tRNAs have two regions of fundamental functional importance: the anti-codon, which is responsible for specific mRNA codon recognition, and the 3' end, to which the tRNAs corresponding amino acid is attached (by aminoacyl-tRNA synthetases). tRNAs cope with the degeneracy of the genetic code in two manners: having more than one tRNA (with a specific anti-codon) for a particular amino acid; and 'wobble' base-pairing, i.e. permitting non-standard base-pairing at the 3rd anti-codon position. RNAcentral also lists the same sequence under 449 other names. The record is from RNAcentral. Lineage: Bacteria; Pseudomonadati; Pseudomonadota; Betaproteobacteria; Neisseriales; Neisseriaceae.